GAUGAACGCUGGCGGCGUGCCUAAUACAUGCAAGUCGAGCGAACGGACGAGAAGCUUGCUUCUCUGAUGUUAGCGGCGGACGGGUGAGUAACACGUGGAUAACCUACCUAUAAGACUGGGAUAACUUCGGGAAACCGGAGCUAAUACCGGAUGAUAUUUUGAACCGCAUGGUUCAAAAGUGAAAGACGGUCUUGCUGUCACUUAUAGAUGGAUCCGCGCUGCAUUAGCUAGUUGGUAAGGUAACGGCUUACCAAGGCAACGAUGCAUAGCCGACCUGAGAGGGUGAUCGGCCACACUGGAACUGAGACACGGUCCAGACUCCUACGGGAGGCAGCAGUAGGGAAUCCUCCGCAAAGGGCGAAAGCCUGACGGAGCAACGCCGCGUGAGUGAUGAAGGUCUUCGGAUCGUAAAACUCUGUUAUUAGGGAAGAACAUAUGUGUAAGUAACUGUGCACAUCUUGACGGUACCUAAUCAGAAAGCCACGGCUAACUACGUG
This 497-nucleotide ribosomal RNA is filed under the name uncultured bacterium. RNAcentral's name for it is "partial 16S ribosomal RNA". It matches the Rfam family "Bacterial small subunit ribosomal RNA", at positions 28 to 507 of the family's 1533-position model. The record is from RNAcentral.